UCGGAUUGCAGUCUGCAACUCGACUGCAUGAAGCUGGAAUCGCUAGUAAUCGCGAGUCAGAAUGUCGCGGUGAAUACGUUCCCGGGUCUUGUACACACCGCCCGUCACACCAUGGGAGUCAGUGACGCCCGAAGCCAGUGACCCAACCUUAGGGAGGGAGCUGUCGAAGGCGGGACCGAUAACUGGGGUGAAGUCGUAACAAGGUAUC
Molecule: ribosomal RNA, 208 nt
Filed under: uncultured bacterium
Lineage: Bacteria
Description: partial 16S ribosomal RNA
Rfam family: Bacterial small subunit ribosomal RNA
Source: RNAcentral